Molecule: ribosomal RNA, 254 nt
Filed under: uncultured bacterium
Lineage: Bacteria
Description: partial 16S ribosomal RNA
Rfam family: Bacterial small subunit ribosomal RNA
Source: RNAcentral
UACGUAGGGUGCGAGCGUUGUCCGGAAUUACUGGGCGUAAAGAGCUCGUAGGUGGUUUGUCGCGUUGUCCGUGAAAACUCACAACUCAAUUGUGGGCGUGCGGGCGAUACGGGCAGACUGGAGUACUGCAGGGGAGACUGGAAUUCCUGGUGUAGCGGUGGAAUGCGCAGAUAUCAGGAGGAACACCGGUGGCGAAGGCGGGUCUCGUGGGCAGUAACUGACGCUGAGGAGCGAAAGCGUGGGGAGCGAACAGG